CGUAUAAUCACGGUUCUGCCCUAGACCGUAGGUGUGGCGCGAGCCGCUUAAUUUCCUACCGAGGCAAUUCGUAAGUGAAGGACGUGUGGAUCCUUCCUGCCUUGGCGAUUUUGAAGGGCAGGGAGGAUUUUUCUUUUGCCGA
Non-coding RNA from Actinobacteria bacterium 13_2_20CM_2_66_6, 142 nucleotides. NCBI's taxonomy places the organism in Bacteria, Bacillati, Actinomycetota. The record is from Rfam.